UGUGGGAGCGAGCUUGCUCGCGAAAGCGUCGGGUCAGUUGCAUUGAUAUCGCCUGACACAACGCCUUCGCGAGCAAGCUCGCUCCCACA
Molecule: non-coding RNA, 89 nt
Filed under: Pseudomonas sp. 29
Lineage: Bacteria; Pseudomonadati; Pseudomonadota; Gammaproteobacteria; Pseudomonadales; Pseudomonadaceae
Source: RNAcentral